UACGUAGGGGGCGAGCGUUGUCCGGAAUUAUUGGGCGUAAAGAGCGUGUAGGCUGUUCGGUAAGUCUGCCGUGAAAACCUGAGGCUCAACCUCGGGCGUGCGGUGGAUACUGCCGGGCUAGAGGACGGUAGAGGCGAGUGGAAUUCCCGGUGUAGCGGUGAAAUGCGCAGAUAUCGGGAGGAACAUCAGUGGCGAAGGCGGCUGCCUGGCCCAAUACUGACACUCAGGUGCGACAGCGUGGGGAGCAAACAGG
Molecule: ribosomal RNA, 253 nt
Filed under: uncultured bacterium
Lineage: Bacteria
Description: partial 16S ribosomal RNA
Rfam family: Bacterial small subunit ribosomal RNA
Source: RNAcentral